RNAcentral lists this ribosomal RNA (253 nucleotides) under uncultured archaeon. Its description in RNAcentral is "partial 16S ribosomal RNA". It matches the Rfam family "Archaeal small subunit ribosomal RNA", at positions 474 to 726 of the family's 1478-position model. The record is from RNAcentral.
UCCCGGCAGUCCAAGUCGCAGCCACAAUUAUUGGGUCUAAAACAUCCGUAGCUUGCCUUGUAAGUCUUUUGUGAAAUCGGGACUCUUAAGGUUCCGGCGGGCAAAAGAUACUGCUUGGCUAGAGACCGGGAGACGUGAGAAGUACGGUUCGGGUAGCGGUAAAAUGUGUUGAUCCGAACUGGACUAACAAUAGCAAAGGCAUCUCACGAGAACGGAUCUGACAGUGAGGGAUGAAGGCUAGGGUCGCGAAAGG